UACGUAGGCAGCAAGCGUUGUUCGGAGUUACUGGGCGUAAAGGGUGUGUAGGCGGUUCUUUAAGUUUGGUGUGAAAUCUCCCGGCUCAACUGGGAGGGUGCGCCGAAUACUGAGGGACUAGAGUACGGGAGAGGAAAGUGGAAUUCCUGGUGUAGCGGUGAAAUGCGUAGAUAUCAGGAGGAACACCGGUGGUGUAGACGGCUUUCUGGCUGCUAACUGACGCUGAGGCGCGAAGGCUGGGGUAGCGAACAGG
This 253-nucleotide ribosomal RNA is filed under the name uncultured bacterium. RNAcentral describes it as "partial 16S ribosomal RNA". It matches the Rfam family "Bacterial small subunit ribosomal RNA", at positions 524 to 776 of the family's 1533-position model. The record is from RNAcentral.